GCCCGGAUAGCUCAGUUGGCCAGAGCGCCGCUCUUGUAAAGCGGAUGUCGUGGGUUCGAAUCCCACUUCGGGCU
Molecule: transfer RNA, 74 nt
Filed under: Acidimicrobiales bacterium
Lineage: Bacteria; Bacillati; Actinomycetota; Acidimicrobiia; Acidimicrobiales
Description: tRNA-Thr
Rfam family: tRNA
About the family: Transfer RNA (tRNA) molecules are approximately 80 nucleotides in length.
Source: RNAcentral